GUAGUCAUAUGCUUGUCUCAAAGAUUAAGCCAUGCAUGUCUAAGUACAAGCCGCUAGACGGCGAAACCGCGAAUGGCUCAAUAAAUCAGUUAUGGUUCCUUAGAUCCACUCCAUCCUACUUGGAUAACUGUGGUAAUUCUAGAGCUAAUACAUGCACUCGAGCCUCGACUGCGGGUCUUCGGACUCGCAGAAGAGGUGCUUUUAUUAGAUCAAAACCAGUCGGGGCCGGGCUUCGGCUCGCGCACCGUACCAAUUUUGGUGACUCUGGAUAACUUCACGCCGAUCGCACGGCCUUCGCGCCGGCGACGUAUCUUUCAAAUGUCUGCCUUAUCAACUGUCGAUGGUAGGUUACGCGCCUACCAUGGUUGCAACGGGUAACGGGGAAUG
RNAcentral lists this ribosomal RNA (387 nucleotides) under uncultured fungus. RNAcentral's name for it is "SSU rRNA". It matches the Rfam family "Eukaryotic small subunit ribosomal RNA", at positions 20 to 371 of the family's 1831-position model. The record is from RNAcentral. Lineage: Eukaryota; Fungi.